GGGGAAGAGCCGGCGAAGAGCAAAGAGAUAAUACAGUACUCCCAGCUAUAGCAAGCGGCAGUUAUGGAGCAUGCGCAGCAGCAGGGGCGGCCGCAGGUCGCCGUUCAAUAAUACUCAAGGGAUUUGUACAGCCCUGUAGGAGACACCUCCAGAGAAAGUAACAGCUCUCAAUUGAUUAGCUGAGGAGACCGAUUUUGUAAAUCACUACUUUUCUAACAACACUGGCACAGAUGGCCAAGCAUUCUCCCUUUUCUCAGAGCUGGUUUUCCAUCCCGGAAAGAGAAUAAACAGAUGCUUUUACAGCUCGCCUUGGCGGGAAGAUCUGGCACAAAUGAAGUAUCUAUAAGGAGCAGCAGAGUCAAGGUGGUGAUCCUGUGGAUGAA
This 383-nucleotide long non-coding RNA is filed under the name Homo sapiens (human). RNAcentral describes it as "non-protein coding lnc-FTCDNL1-4:10". Lineage: Eukaryota; Metazoa; Chordata; Mammalia; Primates; Hominidae. The record is from RNAcentral.